GGAUGUUCGGUGAAGUUGGAGAGUCACAGUGGGCUGUAACCCCAUGUACCCAAAAGGUACAAUAGGUUCGAAUCCUAUAACAUCCACCA
This 89-nucleotide transfer RNA is filed under the name Acidobacteriota bacterium. RNAcentral's name for it is "Acidobacteria bacterium tRNA-Tyr". It matches the Rfam family "tRNA". Rfam says of the family: Transfer RNA (tRNA) molecules are approximately 80 nucleotides in length. Lineage: Bacteria; Pseudomonadati; Acidobacteriota. The record is from RNAcentral.